UCUCCGUAGGUGAACCAGCGGAAGGAUCAUUAUUGUAUAAUCGAGGUGCGAGGCCUGUGGCUGACCCGAAAGGUCGUGCACGCCCGAGUGCCCUCACACACAUCCACCUCACCCCUAUGUGCACCACCGCGUGGGUCCCCCUUUGGCUUGUUCGGAGGGGGGCUUACGUUUUCACACAAUCUUUGAAUGCAGUGUAGAAUGUAUUUUUUGUUUUUGCGACCACGCAACCAAUACACCUUUCAACAACGUACCUCUUGGUUCUGGCAUCUAUGAAGAACG
This 279-nucleotide unclassified non-coding RNA is filed under the name plant metagenome. RNAcentral describes it as "partial contains small subunit ribosomal RNA, internal transcribed spacer 1, and 5.8S ribosomal RNA". The record is from RNAcentral.